UACGUAGGCAGCAAGCGUUGUUCGGAGUUACUGGGCGUAAAGGGUGUGUAGGCGGUUGGAUAAGUGUGGUGUGAAAUCUCCCGGCUUAACUGGGAGGGUGCGCUACAAACUGUCUGACUAGAGUGUGGGAUGGGUAGGUGGAAUUCCUGGUGUAGCGGUGAAAUGCGUAGAUAUCAGGAGGAACACCGGUGGUGUAGACGGCUUACUGGACCAUAACUGACGCUGAGACACGAAAGCGUGGGUAGCAAACAGG
This 253-nucleotide ribosomal RNA is filed under the name uncultured bacterium. RNAcentral's name for it is "partial 16S ribosomal RNA". It matches the Rfam family "Bacterial small subunit ribosomal RNA", at positions 524 to 776 of the family's 1533-position model. The record is from RNAcentral.